UCUAUAAAAAUACCGCUCGCCCGGCGGCCGCUAACCCUCUCAAAAACCCUAGCCUCCUUCGCCUCCUCCUCCUUCCUCCAUCUCCGGCGGCGGCAGCGACAAAUCUCCGACACCAUGAGGCCACCGGCACGCGGAGGACGCGGCGGGAGGGGUUUCGGCGGCAGGAGCGACGGCGGCGGCCGCGGGGGCAGGGGCUUCGGCGGGAGAAGCGAUGGCGGCGGCCGCGGCGGCAGGGGCGGCAGGGGAGGCAGGACGCCCCGGGGCCGUGGUGUCCGUGGCGGCGGUGGAAGGGGAGGGCCCGGCAUGAAGGGCGGGAGCAAGGUGGUCGUGGUGCCCCACAAGCACGACGGCGUCUUCAUCGCCCAGGCCAAGGAGGACGCGCUCUGCACCAAGAACAUGGUCGCCGGGGAGUCCGUCUACGGCGAGAAGCGCGUCUCCGUCCAGAACGAGGACGGGACCAAGGUUGAGUACAGGGUGUGGAACCCCUUUAGAUCAAAGCUGGCUGCAGCUGUUCUCGGUGGCGUCGACAACAUCUGGAUUGCUCCUGGUGCUCGUGUGCUUUAUCUUGGUGCUGCCUCCGGAACGACUGUGUCUCAUGUGUCUGAUAUUGUUGGACCGACUGGGUUGGUGUAUGCUGUGGAGUUCUCACACCGGAGUGGCAGGGAUCUCGUCAACAUGGCCAAGAAGAGGACCAACGUGAUUCCCAUCAUUGAGGAUGCUAGGCACCCUGCAAAGUACCGCAUGUUGGUUGGCAUGGUUGAUGUUAUCUUCUCUGACGUUGCACAGCCUGACCAGGCUAGGAUCUUGGCCCUUAAUGCUUCAUACUUCUUGAAGAAUGGUGGUCACUUUGUCAUUUCAAUCAAGGCCAACUGUAUUGACUCCACCCAGGCUCCUGAGGCCGUGUUCGCUGCCGAAGUUGAGAAGCUGAAGCUUGAGCAGUUCAAGCCUUCGGAGCAGGUGACCCUGGAGCCCUUCGAGCGUGACCACGCCUGUGUUGUCGGUGGCUACAGGAUGCCCAAGAAGCCGAAGGCGACUUGAAGGAAAUAGUUUAAUAUUUCGUCGUGCGUUGUGACGGUCUGUCGUUAAUUAGUACUAGGUCCUAGGUAUGGUGAUAUGAUCAGACAAAGUUGGUUCUAUAGCUACUUGGUUUAUAUCGUGUUGGUGAGUGGCCCAAUGCAAUGUUGCAUGAUUGUUAGCAAUUGUUGACUUGUUGGCAGUGUUAUCCAUUUUGUUAGGCUUAUUAAAGCCGGCUGAUAACCUUAGCAGCCAGCAUUGAUCUGAAAUAUAGGUAAAUUACUUGGCUUGUGUGGAA
This is a non-coding RNA of Triticum urartu, 1312 nucleotides long. The record is from RefSeq and is a predicted model, not a curated record. NCBI's taxonomy places the organism in Eukaryota, Viridiplantae, Streptophyta, Magnoliopsida, Poales, Poaceae.